This 236-nucleotide ribosomal RNA is filed under the name Proteus mirabilis. Its description in RNAcentral is "partial 23S ribosomal RNA". It matches the Rfam family "Bacterial large subunit ribosomal RNA", at positions 1150 to 1389 of the family's 2925-position model. Lineage: Bacteria; Pseudomonadati; Pseudomonadota; Gammaproteobacteria; Enterobacterales; Morganellaceae. The record is from RNAcentral.
GAAGUUACUUCAAUGCGUUAAUGAAAGUCGAGGCGAAAGCACGACAAAGCGAAUUUAAGGAUACGUUCUUUGGGUAGGGGAGCGUUCUGUAAGCCUGCGAAGGUUUACUGUGAGGUAUGCUGGAGGUAUCAGAAGUGCGAAUGCUGACAUAAGUAACGAUAUUGCGGGUGAAAAACCCGCACGCCGGCAGACCAAGGGUUCCUGUCCAACGUUAAUCGGGGCAGGGUGAGUCGACC